CUGUGCUGCAUCACAUGAAUUAGCGUGACGGCCUUCCUGCUCGGUUCUCCAGGGCUGCAGACCUGUUGUAGGCUAAUCAGCUGCAUGAGACACACCUGGGCCAGUUUUAUAAUCUUGUCACAGCGUCUUUGCGGCAGUUUGUUUCUCGUUGAUCGUUAACCCUGCAGCCAGUGGAGACCUGACCUCCUGCCUGAUAAAGAUCUGUCAGCUCCUUUCUGAGCAGGAGAAGCUUUAUGGCCUGAUUUACUGAGUGAAUGUUCUGUCAAACAAACUGUCUCAGUUUAAUCUGAUCAUUAGGCUGUCAAAUAAACUCAAACAUGUCUUCAAAUACAGAA
Molecule: long non-coding RNA, 335 nt
Organism: Micropterus salmoides (largemouth bass)
Lineage: Eukaryota; Metazoa; Chordata; Actinopteri; Centrarchiformes; Centrarchidae
Exons: 2
Source: RefSeq, a predicted model, not a curated record